UACGUAGGGUGCAAGCGUUGUCCGGAAUUAUUGGGCGUAAAGAGCUCGUAGGCGGUUUGUCGCGUCUGCUGUGAAAACUGGAGGCUCAACCUCCAGCCUGCAGUGGGUACGGGCAGACUAGAGUGCGGUAGGGGAGAUUGGAAUUCCUGGUGUAGCGGUGGAAUGCGCAGAUAUCAGGAGGAACACCGAUGGCGAAGGCAGAUCUCUGGUCCGGUACUGACGCUGAGGUGCGAAAGCGUGGGGAGCAAACAGG
This 253-nucleotide ribosomal RNA is filed under the name uncultured bacterium. RNAcentral describes it as "partial 16S ribosomal RNA". It matches the Rfam family "Bacterial small subunit ribosomal RNA", at positions 524 to 776 of the family's 1533-position model. The record is from RNAcentral.